AGUGGGGAAUAUUGGACAAUGGGCGAAAGCCUGAUCCAGCCAUGCCGCGUGUGUGAAGAAGGUCUUCGGAUUGUAAAGCACUUUAAGUUGGGAGGAAGGGCAGUAAGCUAAUACCUUGCUGUUUUGACGUUACCGACAGAAUAAGCACCGGCUAACUCUGUGCCAGCAGCCGCGGUAAUACAGAGGGUGCAAGCGUUAAUCGGAAUUACUGGGCGUAAAGCGCGCGUAGGUGGUUUGUUAAGUUGGAUGUGAAAGCCCCGGGCUCAACCUGGGAACUGCAUCCAAAACUGGCAAGCUAGAGUACGGUAGAGGGUGGUGGAAUUUCCUGUGUAGCGGUGAAAUGCGUAGAUAUAGGAAGGAACACCAGUGGCGAAGGCGACCACCUGGACUGAUACUGACACUGAGGUGCGAAAGCGUGGGGAGCAAA
Molecule: ribosomal RNA, 427 nt
Filed under: uncultured Pseudomonas sp.
Lineage: Bacteria; Pseudomonadati; Pseudomonadota; Gammaproteobacteria; Pseudomonadales; Pseudomonadaceae
Description: bacterial SSU rRNA
Rfam family: Bacterial small subunit ribosomal RNA
Source: RNAcentral